UUUUGUAUACAGUAUAAAAACGAAAAUUUCUCAAUCAUUAACCCAAACCUAAUUUCAUACCAAAUCGCCUUUACUCUCCGGUCGUCUCUUCCACGUAUAUCAUCAAAUCUACCAUCUCAGUAAAGCAAAAUCUGUUGAUGAGCAUACCUUACAUCGAGAAUUCAAGUUACUGAUAAAAAUUGCAUUACCAAUAUUGAACACUAAAUAGGUUCCUUUGCCAUCAAAGUUCGAAUUGCCAGGAGAAUUGCUUGAACUUGACACGCUAAAUGAUCCAAGCCUGCCACUCAUGCCACUAAUAGACAUACUUCCACCAUUUUCUCCAACAAAACUAAGUAUUUUACUACCAUUUCCACCUAAGAACCUUGCUGUAGCGGACCUAACACCACUGCUCACUCCAAAACUUGAUGAUGAUUGGGGCUGCGCUGCAUCGGUAUAUCCUUGAGAUGAGCAAGGGUUACCUGAAAAAAAAAUUACUAUUAUCUCAUUGGUGGAUCCUCGAUUUCGGGUAAAAAGACAGAUAAUGAAUUUUCAAUUCGGAGUUAAAAGGCAGAUAAGAACAAAACCAAUUUACUGUAAAACUCAAUUAUUCAAACCCCCAAGAAUAUACCUUGAACUUGAAAUUAACCUUCUUCUUGGGUAUGUACCGGGUUGAAAUUAACCUUGAACUUGAAAUUAACCUUCUUUAACAAAAGAGAUUAAGGUUGAAAUUAGGUUUGGGUUAAUAGUUUGGGUAUGUUUUAAUCGGAUUUGGUUUGGG
RNAcentral lists this long non-coding RNA (757 nucleotides) under Nicotiana benthamiana. RNAcentral describes it as "long non-coding RNA (NBEN_LNC042646)". The record is from RNAcentral. Lineage: Eukaryota; Viridiplantae; Streptophyta; Magnoliopsida; Solanales; Solanaceae.